UGGGGAAUAUUGCACAAUGGGCGCAAGCCUGAUGCAGCCAUGCCGCGUGUAUGAAGAAGGCCUUCGGGUUGUAAAGUACUUUCAGCGGGGAGGAAGGGAGUAAAGUUAAUACCUUUACUCAUUGACGUUACCCACAGAAGAAGCACCGGCUAACUCCGUGCCAGCAGCCGCGGUAAUACGGAGGGUGCAAGCGUUAAUCGGAAUUACUGGGCGUAAAGCGCACGCAGGCGGUCUGUCAAGUCGGAUGUGAAAUCCCCGGGCUCAACCUGGGAACUGCAUUCGAAACUGGCAGGCUAGAGUCUUGUAGAGGGGGGUAGAAUUCCAGGUGUAGCGGUGAAAUGCGUAGAGAUCUGGAGGAAUACCGGUGGCGAAGGCGGCCCCCUGGACAAAGACUGACGCUCAGGUGCGAAAGCGUGGGGAGCAAACAGG
This 429-nucleotide ribosomal RNA is filed under the name Chloroflexota bacterium. RNAcentral describes it as "Chloroflexi bacterium partial 16S ribosomal RNA". It matches the Rfam family "Bacterial small subunit ribosomal RNA", at positions 355 to 776 of the family's 1533-position model. The record is from RNAcentral. Lineage: Bacteria; Bacillati; Chloroflexota.